RNAcentral lists this transfer RNA (73 nucleotides) under Podarcis lilfordi (Lilford's wall lizard). RNAcentral's name for it is "tRNA.Lys". The record is from RNAcentral. Lineage: Eukaryota; Metazoa; Chordata; Lepidosauria; Squamata; Lacertidae.
GCUGGGAUACCUCAGUUGGUAGAGCAUGAGACCCUUAAUCCCAAGGUUGUGGAUUUGAGCCCCACAUUAGGUG